RNAcentral lists this non-coding RNA (194 nucleotides) under Stegodyphus mimosarum. RNAcentral's name for it is "eukaryotic small subunit ribosomal RNA". It matches the Rfam family "Eukaryotic small subunit ribosomal RNA", at positions 1454 to 1655 of the family's 1831-position model. The record is from Rfam by way of RNAcentral. Lineage: Eukaryota; Metazoa; Arthropoda; Arachnida; Araneae; Eresidae.
CAUCAACUAUGAUGAUUUUCUUAGAGCCGCACGCACGCAACAUUGAAAGGCACAGCGUGUGCUUUCCCUGUCCGACAAGACUGGGUAACCCGUUGAACCUCCGUCGUGCUGGGGAUAGGAGCUUGUAAAUAUUCCCCUUGAACGAGGAAUUACCACUAAGCACGAGUCACAAGGUCGUGUUGAUUACGUCCCUG